Molecule: ribosomal RNA, 253 nt
Filed under: uncultured bacterium
Lineage: Bacteria
Description: partial 16S ribosomal RNA
Rfam family: Bacterial small subunit ribosomal RNA
Source: RNAcentral
UACAGAGGUGGCAAGCGUUGUUCGGAAUUACUGGGCGUAAAGGGCGCGUAGGCGGCUUGGUCAGUCCCGUGUGAAAUCCCUCGGCUCAACUGAGGAACUGCACGGGAAACUGCCUGGCUUGAGUUCGGGAGAGGGAAGCGGAAUUCCCAGUGUAGCGGUGAAAUGCGUAGAUAUUGGGAGGAACACCAGUGGCGAAGGCGGCUCACUGGACCGGAACUGACGCUGAGGCGCGAAAGCGUGGGGAGCAAACAGG